This 253-nucleotide ribosomal RNA is filed under the name uncultured bacterium. Its description in RNAcentral is "partial 16S ribosomal RNA". It matches the Rfam family "Bacterial small subunit ribosomal RNA", at positions 524 to 776 of the family's 1533-position model. The record is from RNAcentral.
UACGUAGGUGACAAGCGUUGUCCGGAUUUACUGGGCGUAAAGGGCGCGUAGGCGGCGUGACAAGUCACUUGUGAAAUCUCCGGGCUUAACUCGGAACGGCCAAGUGAUACUGUCGUGCUAGAGUGCAGAAGGGGCAAUCGGAAUUCUUGGUGUAGCGGUGAAAUGCGUAGAUAUCAAGAGGAACACCUGAGGUGAAGACGGGUUGCUGGGCUGACACUGACGCUGAGGCGCGAAAGCUAGGGGAGCAAACGGG